RNAcentral lists this ribosomal RNA (253 nucleotides) under uncultured bacterium. Its description in RNAcentral is "partial 16S ribosomal RNA". It matches the Rfam family "Bacterial small subunit ribosomal RNA", at positions 524 to 776 of the family's 1533-position model. The record is from RNAcentral.
UACAGAGGUCUCAAGCGUUGUUCGGAUUCAUUGGGCGUAAAGGGUGCGUAGGUGGCGCGCUAAGUCAGGUGUGAAAUCUCGGGGCUUAGCUCCGAAACUGCAUUUGAUACUGGCGUGCUUGAGGACUGGAGAGGAGACUGGAAUUCAUGGUGUAGCAGUGAAAUGCGUAGAGAUCAUGAGGAAGACCAGUGGCGAAGGCGGGUCUCUGGACAGUUCCUGACACUGAGGCACGAAGGCCAGGGGAGCAAACGGG